UGUGCGCGGUGGGUGGGGCGGCCCGGAGCGGGUUCCCGAUUGGCUGGGGCGCCGCAGGGGCGAAGUCCCCUGCUCUCGCGCGGGGAUCUCGUCAUAGGUGAGCGCUCCGGUGUGGGGUGUUCGCGGUGCUCCAGGGCCGGAGACUGCUGGCCGGAGGGUACUUCCGGUUACUCUCGCUCUUUCCCCCUAGGACAGGCGGGCCCCGUGUGUGCGGAGCCCGGACCGCCUGCAAGGGAUGGUCUAGAGCCCCACAGAGUCAUGGCGAUGGUCAAAGGAACAUCAUAGGGGUCUUUCCAUCUGGGUUCUUCUUUGAAAUUGCUUGUCAUGGACCUUGUAUCCUGCUGGAACCUGUGUGUUGUAUGUCGUCUAGGAUGGUCUGGGCUGCAAAGGAAUCCAGGAUGGCAUGGCCAGCUGCUGCUGUUUGCCAUCCCAGAUGUCUGGCUGGCUGGGCAUCCUGGUUUCCAGUCAUUUGCUCCCAGGAGCAGACAGCAGUCCUCGUGAGAAAGGUUCCAGAGCCAACAACAACAGAGUGGCAGAGCUGAUGGAGAAUGGAUAUCAUCAAGCCCAACCCAAUGUCACGGCUCUGCAGACAGGGAAACAGCCCCAGGAAGUGGGGUGGCUGGUGGGGGCAACACAGAAAGAGGAAAUGGAAGAGGUGAGAUGAGCAACA
Long non-coding RNA from Eptesicus fuscus (big brown bat), 670 nucleotides. RefSeq lists it as uncharacterized. NCBI's taxonomy places the organism in Eukaryota, Metazoa, Chordata, Mammalia, Chiroptera, Vespertilionidae. The transcript is spliced from 3 exons. The record is from RefSeq and is a predicted model, not a curated record.